This is a non-coding RNA of Pelobates cultripes (western spadefoot toad), 238 nucleotides long. The record is from the annotation of a GenBank genome assembly. NCBI's taxonomy places the organism in Eukaryota, Metazoa, Chordata, Amphibia, Anura, Pelobatidae.
CAGGACUCCAAAUUGAGGGUGAAGUAGAACUGUCUAAAACUUUAUUUUACUUGGGACAAGCCCAUAUGGUCAUUACAUUAACAUUGCUGUGAAAACUCAAUAAAAUUACAAACAGUCAAAUGCAUCAAUCCUUUGUGUGGGAUCAAGUACAUUAAACAUGGCUCUGAAACAUGUCAAGUAACUAUGUCGAAAACCGUUAGUAAUGCACUGGUACAUGCUAUCUUAGUAAAAGAUAAAU